This is a long non-coding RNA of Corvus hawaiiensis (hawaiian crow), 1408 nucleotides long. RefSeq lists it as uncharacterized. Lineage: Eukaryota; Metazoa; Chordata; Aves; Passeriformes; Corvidae. The transcript is spliced from 6 exons. The record is from RefSeq and is a predicted model, not a curated record.
CAGAAGUGGAGCUAGAAGAGCCCCAGGGAUUUAUAUCUACUCCUUCCUCAUCACGUUACAUGGGAAGCACAGACUGCUCUUGGAUACUCUGUCUCUGAAGGGCAUGGCAAAUACUGUUGUAAGGUAUCCGUCAAUAACAUCAUCACUGAACUGCCAAGAGGAGUUUCUUGGGAUUUAUGAAGAGAGUCAGAAAGGAAGAAAAGAUCGAGGUAACAACAAAUGAUCCAGCUGAGCACACUCAGUCCUAGAAAUUUCCCGCUUUCACUCGGGCCAGUUUCAGAAAGCCCCAGCUGCACGGCUCUGAUGUGUUGGCAGCCUUAAGCCAAGCUGCGGAGCCCAGGCUGUAAGCUUGGCUGAAGACCUUAAUCCCUGUGUCAGUGUGCUGCAUUGAUCCAGCAGGAGAAGAGCCCCUUAGGGCCUCAGAGAACAGUAAAAGAGACUACAGAGAAAUAAGCUGUGAUGUCUGGGCACCCCCUGAGGGACACUUGUCCGUAGAAGUGACUUGUGACUUUCUGUAUUGUCAGCUUCAUUUUCAAAGGACAAAACCUAUCAAUGCCCCAAAAAUUCCUGAGGAGAUGAGCUUGACAUAGAUGUUAUCCUUCCAGCUUGGGAAGGAAUCAUGCAGCCACUGGGAUACCCCUGAGAGACACAAAUGCCACAAGCUGCCACCGGAGACUUAUAGCCCCAUUAAAAUCCACUGUUCACCUUGAAGUUGUGAACUUUCUGGACUGAAGGAAAUCUGUCUAAUUGUCAUGGCCAACUGAUGGUGCAUAAAGGAUUUGGACUAACCAAAGAGUUACUAGGCAACUUCUGUGGUGACACUCCUGUCUGUGCCAUAAAACCUUGAGGUUCAGCAGUGACAGUGACCUUCCUUCACAGGGCUGCAGCAGCCAUGAAAGGUUUUCUCUCAACUUGUUCUACUCAGAAAACAUCAUCUGAGGUACGGUCCCCUGAGGCAAGCAAACCUGGUUUGUACUUCAGGGUAAAAACUCUUUGCUUUCCCAGUCCCCAUCCUGCUGCCCAUCCACUUUGAGAGCUGUGGGAAGAGAGCUGCCAUUGAAGACAGUCCAUACUCACUUCAUUGCUGCUGGAUACCAAUCACAAUUCCACUUUUGAUGAAGCUGUGCUAAGAACAGAUGCACCAGACAGCACAGAUGACCAGCCAGGGGUACUGCAGGAGAACACAUUCACUGGGAAAACAGGAUGGAUGGGAUCCUCCCACGCUGGGGAGGGCAGAAAAGAGGAUGAUCCCAAUGAAGUUUGGUGUGCUGUGUGUCAGAAUGGAGGGAAGCUCCUUUGCUGUGAGAAGUGUCCCAAAGUAUUUCCAUCUGUGUCAUGUCCCUACAUUGAUGAACUUUCCAAGGUAAUUAUGACCCCUUCAAUUCCAUCUAAAAUUGUAGCAAAAGAC